This is a long non-coding RNA of Sinocyclocheilus anshuiensis, 373 nucleotides long. RefSeq lists it as uncharacterized. The transcript has 3 exons. The record is from RefSeq and is a predicted model, not a curated record. Lineage: Eukaryota; Metazoa; Chordata; Actinopteri; Cypriniformes; Cyprinidae.
UCCGUGCGCGUCAAUCAAGCACAGCGGAGAGGAUCCGCACUCCGAGUCCGCAGCUGGCAGACGGCGCCUGUCUGUUUGAUCCUCCCUAAACUAGUGGCAGCUGAGACCACCGUAUUCUUUGAGACUUCAGAUACGCUCAACUGCUUACAUAACAGGCUGUUUUCAAUGAGACGGUUGCCAGGGAAAGCUGCUCUAACUAUUAGGAACAGAAAAUCGUUUUGGCAUUUUUGAACACUGAGGGCUUGAGACCAUCUUCAGUUUAAAGUGAUCGUUCCAUGUUUCCUGUGCAGACUCACAGCAUGGCUAAGCGUGUGGCUGUGAUUGGAGCAGGCAGCUCUGGACUGACCUCCAUCAAAUGCUGCUUGGAUGAAGG